Molecule: long non-coding RNA, 1132 nt
Organism: Myotis davidii
Lineage: Eukaryota; Metazoa; Chordata; Mammalia; Chiroptera; Vespertilionidae
Exons: 2
Source: RefSeq, a predicted model, not a curated record
CUGUCCAGCAAUUGUCAGACACAUUUCCUCAGCCACUUGGAAAAGACUGCCUGAGAAUGCAUCUGCGUCUCUGCCUCAUGUUUUGUGGCAAGGAAGCCAAGACAGAGAGAUGGUGAGAAACAGAGACAGAAGAGAGACAGAGCCAGCGCUCCAAGUAACUGCCUCAUCCUAGCAUGAAAGCAGGGAGUGGAAAGAGAGAAACAUUAAUGGCCCCCAGUGGGGAUCAAGCCUGUAACCCAGGCACAUGCCCCAACUGGGAAUCGGCAACUCUUCGGUGCACGGGACGGCGCCCAACCAACUGAGCCACACCAGCCAGGGCAAAGCUAACCUAUUUUCCCAAGCCCUCGACAGUGCUGAUUGGUCCCAGUGGACAGCGAUCAAGGCCCGCAGUCUAUGUGCCUAUGUGACAUGGAAAGGAAUGUGCAGCUGGGCCAGGAAGGUGUCCGUUUGUCUGCAGGUCUUCUGAGGCUGACCCUGGGAGCGGCAACAUGUCCCGCCUCAGGGCAGUCCUCUCUUUUCUUCCCGGUCCCUAACCCAGUCACUGCCUGCACUGACUCACCCCGUGUGAUUGGAGCUCACCCACAGCUGAAAAGAAAGUCAGAUGGGAACCAAACUCUGUCCCCUGCACCUUGCCCUAAAGCUACUCGGGACAAGGACACGGUGUGCCAAGCAGAGGCUCUGAGAGGGCAGCUCCAGUCUCUCCCUCCACCUUCCCAUCCCUGUUGUGGCUCCGGUGGCGGGAGCAGCAAUGGGCAGGGAGGAAAGGAACAUGAUCUGGUGAAGAAUGUACUCACACUCCCUUGCACGCCUCCGACACCACAGUCAUCGAAGCCGGUAUAAAUGAAUCACGUCCCUGCCUCUCCAUUGCAGGGAAAGGCUGCACAUUUCCAGAGCACCAGGCACCACAUGGAAGGACCAAAGCAAAUGCCAAGAAAAUGGUAAAAGCACUUUUCUUAUUCACCAUUUUAGGUUUAUACAUGCACAGUUUGUAGGAGCCUGGCCUGUGGUAAGCCCCAAACCGGCGUUUACUAAGAAAGAUAAAACCACCCUCCCUGAGAAAGCAAAGGGCAGAGGCUUUUUCUGUAUUUACUUUUUUUAGUUCCUCUAAUUAAAGUAUUUGUUGAUUUCCAGC